CUGGCGGCGUGGCUAACACAUGCAAGUCGAACGAGAAAGUGGAGCAAUCCAUGAGUAAAGUGGCGACCGGGUGAGUAACACGUGACUAACCUACCUCCGAGUGGGGAAUAACUCCGGGAAACCGGGGCUAAUACCGCAUAACAUCGCAAGAUCAAAGCAGCAAUGCGCUUGGAGAGGGGGUCGCGGCUGAUUAGCUAGUUGGCGGGGUAACGGCCCACCAAGGCGAAGAUCGGUAUCCGGCCUGAGAGGGCGCACGGACACACUGGAACUGAAACACGGUCCAGACUCCUACGGGAGGCAGCAGUGGGGAAUUUUGCGCAAUGGGGGAAACCCUGACGCAGCAACGCCGCGUGGAGGAUGAAGCCCUUUGGGGCGUAAACUCCUUUCGACUCGGACGAUAAUGACGGUACGAGUGGAAGAAGCACCGGCUAACUCUGUGCCAGCAGCCGCGGUAAUACAGAGGGUGCAAGCGUUGUUCGGAAUUAUCGGGCGUAAAGGGCGCGUAUGCGGUGCGGUAAGUCACCUGUGAAAUCUCCUGGCUU
RNAcentral lists this ribosomal RNA (542 nucleotides) under uncultured bacterium. RNAcentral describes it as "bacterial SSU rRNA". It matches the Rfam family "Bacterial small subunit ribosomal RNA", at positions 36 to 610 of the family's 1533-position model. The record is from RNAcentral.